This is a small nucleolar RNA of Marmota marmota marmota (Alpine marmot), 130 nucleotides long. Its record names the gene SNORA70. It matches the Rfam family "Small nucleolar RNA SNORA70". Rfam says of the family: snoRNA U70 seems to be exclusive to mammals and is a member of the H/ACA class of snoRNA which contain H (ANANNA) and ACA box motifs. NCBI's taxonomy places the organism in Eukaryota, Metazoa, Chordata, Mammalia, Rodentia, Sciuridae. The record is from Ensembl.
CUGCAGCCAAUUAAACUGUGUUCCUUUAUUAUGGCAGCCCAGAGUGUGAUGGCUACAAACAGCAACCUCCUCCGUAGUAUAUGCAGCCUGUUGCUUAAAUGGGUUUCCCUAAGGGACCUUGGAAAUGGUG